UGUUCUUAUUCAGUUUUUAAAUACAUUUUGAAGUUUUGGAUAAGUUUUGGUGUUUUAAGAUGGAAAAAAAAGUACGUUCGAAUAGAAUAAGAGUUCAGUGUUUAUCGUGUGGUUCAGAGUUUGUGAAAGAAUAUAAACCUACACAUGAGAAAAAGAUGCACGGCGGAAAAUGUGUAGCAAUAAAACUAGUAGGCGCUCCAGACAAUCCUUUUGUUUUGGCGGCAAAAAAAAGACGAAAUGAAGAAGUUAGCGAAGGUAGGUAAAAAUACAUACUAAUACAACUAAAUCGCGGGUUUGGCCUUGUAAUGAGGUAAAAAGUAAAGGAGAUGAUAUAGUCAAGAUUGUUUACACCCCUUUUAAAAGAGGGGUGUGCUAAAACCACAAAAUUAUCUAGAUUUUUAUAUUCAUUCAUUAUAUUUAUUCAGUCAUUAAAAAUAAACAAUACUUAAUUAGCAAGCUUAAUUUCGCGAUAAAUUAUUACCUACGUAUUGUAUUGUUUUAGCAUCGUCUAGUUCGAUAGAAAAUAUACUUGAAUUGGCAGUGAAUAAAAGAAAGAGCAAAGAAGAAUCUAAAGAUGUAACAAAUACUAAAAAGCCAAAACAGUUAAUUACCGUUUUUCCGGAAGCUGAACAAAGUAAAGACAUUUUAAUUGAGGAGCCUGAAAAUGAAAACAUUGAAAGCUACACAUUUCAGGAAUCAGAACAUGAAACAGGAGAUGAUCACGAACAUUUUUCAGACCGCAUAAGCUCUAACUCUAAGACUCAACUUAAUAGUGAUUCGAUGGAUAACUUAG
Molecule: long non-coding RNA, 793 nt
Organism: Anthonomus grandis grandis
Lineage: Eukaryota; Metazoa; Arthropoda; Insecta; Coleoptera; Curculionidae
Exons: 3
Source: RefSeq, a predicted model, not a curated record